RNAcentral lists this transfer RNA (72 nucleotides) under Lophius litulon. Its description in RNAcentral is "tRNA-Ser". It matches the Rfam family "tRNA". From Rfam's summary of the family: Transfer RNA (tRNA) molecules are approximately 80 nucleotides in length. Their secondary structure includes four short double-helical elements and three loops (D, anti-codon, and T loops). Further hydrogen bonds mediate the characteristic L-shaped molecular structure. tRNAs have two regions of fundamental functional importance: the anti-codon, which is responsible for specific mRNA codon recognition, and the 3' end, to which the tRNAs corresponding amino acid is attached (by aminoacyl-tRNA synthetases). tRNAs cope with the degeneracy of the genetic code in two manners: having more than one tRNA (with a specific anti-codon) for a particular amino acid; and 'wobble' base-pairing, i.e. permitting non-standard base-pairing at the 3rd anti-codon position. The record is from RNAcentral. Lineage: Eukaryota; Metazoa; Chordata; Actinopteri; Lophiiformes; Lophiidae.
AAGAAAGUGACAGAGUGGUGAUGUGGUCGGCUUGAAACCGAGUUAUGGGGGGUUCAAUUCCCUCCUUUCUUG